Molecule: ribosomal RNA, 938 nt
Filed under: Niphargus rhenorhodanensis
Lineage: Eukaryota; Metazoa; Arthropoda; Malacostraca; Amphipoda; Niphargidae
Description: partial 16S ribosomal RNA
Source: RNAcentral
UAUAAAAGAAAUUUCAAUAAUUUACCUUUUGUAUCAGGGUUUUUUAAAAUUAUUAAUAAAUAAGUUAUCUCGAAGCAAUAAUGAGCUAAUAAAUUUAUUUUUGUUGUAGUAAAAUAAUUAAUUAUAUUAGUAAUGAAAUGUUAUCGUAUUUUGGUUUAUCUAGUUAUUUGAAUAGUUUAAUUUAUAAGUAGUUGUAAACUAAGUAAAUAGAAGAGUUAAUUUUUUUAUUUAAAUAAAUAAAAAAAUUUUUUAUUAUUAAUUAGGUUUAAUAUUAAUCAUAUUUAUAUGUUGUUAUAAAUAAUUAAAUGUUUAAUUAUGUAUAUUAUUAUUAUUUAAGUUAUGGGGGUUAUUAUAUAAUUUUUAAAAAUAAUGAAUUAAUUAGUAUUAGAUUUAUAUUAUAUAUCUAACUCGUAGUUUAUUUGAUAGUUUAACAAAAACAUUUUUUUUAGUAAAUUAAAAAUAAGGCCUGCCCAGUGAAUUUUUUAACGGCUGCAGUAUUUUAACUGUACUAAGGUAGCAUAAUCAUUUGUUUUUUAAUUGAAAACUGGUAUGAACGGUUUUACAAAUAAUUAAUUGUAAUAUAUUUAUUUAGUAAAUUUUAUUUUUAAUAAAAAUAUUCAAAUAUAAUAAAGGGACGAUAAGACCCUAAAAGCUUUUUUAUUAUUUUGUUUUAAUAAAAUAAAAUUAAUAAAUUUAGUUGGGGAAAUAUAUAUAUAAAUUUUAUUUUAUUAAAAUACAAGUAUUUUUGGUAAUUUGAUCUUUUUUAUAAAGAAAAAUAGAACUAGUUACUUUAGGGAUAACAGCGUAAUAAUUUUAGAAAGGUCUUAUUAAUAAAAUUGCUUACGACCUCGAUGUUGAAUUAAAAUGUCUAUAUCUCGUAGAAGGUAUAUAAGAAGGUUUGUUCAACCUUUAAUUUUUUACAUGAUUUGAGUUCAAAU